This 84-nucleotide transfer RNA is filed under the name Felis catus (domestic cat). It matches the Rfam family "tRNA". From Rfam's summary of the family: Transfer RNA (tRNA) molecules are approximately 80 nucleotides in length. Their secondary structure includes four short double-helical elements and three loops (D, anti-codon, and T loops). Lineage: Eukaryota; Metazoa; Chordata; Mammalia; Carnivora; Felidae. The record is from Rfam by way of RNAcentral.
GCCUGGGUAGCUCAGUCGGUUAAGCGUCUGAUUCGGCUCAGGUCUUGAUCUCAUGGUUCGUGGGUUCAAGCCCCACGUCGGGCU